CCCUCCCUCUCCCUCUCCCUCUCCCUCUGCCCCUUCCUCCCUACUCUCUCUGAAAAAAAAAAAAUGAUAAUGUUCAAUAAUCCCAUAAAAGAUGAUGGUGACUUUGAAGAGAGCGGUAGCCACGAAUAUGGUAAGGAACGAUCAAUUGCUGGAUAUAUUUUGAAGAAAAGGAAAACUGAAUUUGCUGAAGGAUCAAAAAUAGGAUUUAAGAGAGAGGAAUCAUGGAGGACUCUAAAGAAUAGAGCUGCCAUUUGCUAAGAAGGGGAAAUUUGCCAGGAUACAAAUCUGAAGACUGGACACUCAGGAGUUGAAGAGCCAGAAGAUUCUUAAUAGGUCCUGUCUUGUGCCAGACAUUGUGGCAAGCUCUGGUCAAGCAAUUCUGAAAACAGUUCUGGGAAGCAGUUCAAAAUGAAGACGGCUGUAUUGGGUCCCAAGAGGCCUCCACUGCUGGAGGGACUGGAGAGCUGGGCCCCAGAAAGCUCUUCUGCCCCUUCAUCACAAUGGCCUUGGGAGUUGAGGGUCGCUCCAGGGCAGACUCCUCGAUUUUUAUGCAUCCCCUGAGAGUCAGAAACCUAAGGAUGCUUCCCUGGCACCACCCUCCGUGGUGGUACCAAUGAGUUCUAGCGAUGUCUGUGCUGCUGUGUCCUUGUUUAAUAUACUUCUGAGUUGGUUAUGCUUAUAAAAUACAGUACAUUCAUUUGUCGAUAAGUCUUCUUUAAAGUCUAAUUAAGAAUUCUAUGGUGGGGUGCUUGGGUGGCUCAGUCAGUAAAGCAUCUGACCUCAGUUCGGGUCAUGAUCUCGUGGUUCCUGAGUUCAAGCCCCCAUCGGGCUCUGUGCUGACAGCUCAGAGCCUGGAGCCUGCUUCAGAUUCUAUGUCUCCCUCUCUUUCUGCCUCUCU
Long non-coding RNA from Acinonyx jubatus (cheetah), 898 nucleotides. RefSeq lists it as uncharacterized. The transcript has 4 exons. The record is from RefSeq and is a predicted model, not a curated record. Lineage: Eukaryota; Metazoa; Chordata; Mammalia; Carnivora; Felidae.